RNAcentral lists this non-coding RNA (22 nucleotides) under Rattus norvegicus (Norway rat). Lineage: Eukaryota; Metazoa; Chordata; Mammalia; Rodentia; Muridae. The record is from RNAcentral.
UUUCUCUGUAUGUGCACAGACU